UGAAGUUAAAUAACGUACUUGUGAUUUUUAUGUGAGAUUAUGAAAAUGAUUUUCUACCCCUCGUAGUAGCUGGUUUUUAAAGAAAAAGGUUUCCGUGCGAAAAAUGGUUUUAAAAAGAAUUUUUCAAUUUUCAUGAUUUUUAGUAUUUCAAAAUAAGUUUCUGAGUGGGAAACGUUUUAAACUAAUAGAUGUGGAUAUAUGAUGAAAAAAUAUAAACUUGUGAUUGAAUGAAUGUGAAUUGGUUGAUGUGAUGUGGUGAUUGUAUAUGAAUGUUUAUACACUGUGGUUGUAUCUUGUACUUGCGCGACGCCGUACAAAUACAGAAAAGAUUCUGUCCGUGUGAACAGUGGGUUUUCUGUAUUUGUGGCGGAUCUGAUAUCCCCUGGGAUCAAGGCUUUCAAAAAAAAAAAAAAUUGGGCACUUCCGUAUUGAUUUUAAAACUUCAAAGGGACCUCGGGGCGUGACACUCACCGUACUCUCUAUUCCAAAAGCAUCCCAAAGAUUGCUUUUAUACUGCAUCCUCUAAAACGUACGCGAAUCCUAGUCCGAUUAAAAUUCCUACUCCAAUUAAUAUUUAAAUCUAUAUUGAUUUAUCUCCAAUAGAUUUAAAUAUUUAUCCUAAUCUAGUUAAAUUUAUACUCUAAUUAAUAUUUAAAUCUUAAUUUAUCUCCAAUAGAUUUAAAUAUUAAUCCUAAUCCAAUUAGAAAAUUAACUACAAAUCUAACCAAAUCCUAACAUAAUCUAUUU
RNAcentral lists this long non-coding RNA (747 nucleotides) under Ananas comosus (pineapple). RNAcentral describes it as "long non-coding RNA (ACOM_LNC008781)". Lineage: Eukaryota; Viridiplantae; Streptophyta; Magnoliopsida; Poales; Bromeliaceae. The record is from RNAcentral.